This 455-nucleotide ribosomal RNA is filed under the name uncultured bacterium. RNAcentral describes it as "bacterial SSU rRNA". It matches the Rfam family "Bacterial small subunit ribosomal RNA", at positions 340 to 786 of the family's 1533-position model. The record is from RNAcentral.
UACGGAAGGCAGCAGUGGGGAAUAUUGCACAAUGGGCGCAAGCCUGAUGCAGCCAUGCCGCGUGUAUGAAGAAGGCCUUCGGGUUGUAAAGUACUUUCAGCGGGGAGGAAGGCGGUGAAGUUAAUAGCUUCACCGAUUGACGUUACCCGCAGAAGAAGCACCGGCUAACUCCGUGCCAGCAGCCGCGGUAAUACGGAGGGUGCAAGCGUUAAUCGGAAUUACUGGGCGUAAAGCGCACGCAGGCGGUCUGUCAAGUCGGAUGUGAAAUCCCCGGGCUUAACCUGGGAACUGCAUUCGAAACUGGCAGGCUAGAGUCUUGUAGAGGGGGUAGAAUUCCAGGUGUAGCGGUGAAAUGCGUAGAGAUCUGGAGGAAUACCGGUGGCGAAGGCGGCCCCUGGGACAAAGACUGACGCUCAGGUGCGAAAGCGUGGGGAGCAAACGAGGAUUAGGAUACC